Molecule: ribosomal RNA, 491 nt
Filed under: uncultured bacterium
Lineage: Bacteria
Description: partial 16S ribosomal RNA
Rfam family: Bacterial small subunit ribosomal RNA
Source: RNAcentral
GAUGAACGCUGUCUACAGGCUUAACACAUGCAAGUCGAGGGGAAACGACGGGGAAGCUUGCUUCCCCGGGCGUCGACCGGCGCACGGGUGAGUAACGCGUAUCCAACCUGCCUCUGACUGAGGGAUAACCCGUCGAAAGUCGGCCUAAUACCUCAUGGCAUCGUCUGCGGGCAUCCAACGACGAUUAAAGAUUUCAUCGGUCAGGGAUGGGGAUGCGUCUGAUUAGCUUGUUGGCGGGGUAACGGCCCACCAAGGCUACGAUCAGUAGGGGUUCUGAGAGGAAGGUCCCCCACAUUGGAACUGAGACACGGUCCAAACUCCUACGGGAGGCAGCAGUGAGGAAUAUUGGUCAAGGGGCGGGAGCCUGAACCAGCCAAGUAGCGUGCAGGAUGACGGCCCUAUGGGUUGUAAACUGCUUUUAUGCGGGGAUAAAGUGAGGGACGUGUCCUUCAUUGCAGGUACCGCAUGAAUAAGGACCGGCUAAUUCCGUG